Chiroxiphia lanceolata (lance-tailed manakin) is the source of this 1020-nucleotide long non-coding RNA. RefSeq lists it as uncharacterized. The transcript is spliced from 4 exons. Lineage: Eukaryota; Metazoa; Chordata; Aves; Passeriformes; Pipridae. The record is from RefSeq and is a predicted model, not a curated record.
UGGGGCUGCGGCGGCCCCUGGCCCUGAGCCCCAGGUGGGCGGCCCGGCGGUUCGAGCUCGGGGCGUCCUCUCGUAAGGGGCGUGAGGGAGGAGCCCGCCGGAACACAGACUGCUUGGCUGGGAAGAGCCUAUUCGUGGAUUGUUUUUCCCUGCCCCGCAAGGCAGUUACACCAGCAGGAGAUCUGGGACAGCUUUGCAUCUUUCCUAGGGAUUGCCAGUGAAUCCUCAGCAGGUGGAAGCUUCCCUGGAACUGGCCUUUGCCCCACGAGGCGGUCGCAGGGGCUGGCAGUUUUAAGAUCAGACGGCUAAUUGGCAAGUGAAGAGUGCAUAUUGACUGUCCUGCUUCUAAGAGAGCUUUACAAGUUGAACUGUCCCGCUCCUCAAUCCUCGCAGUCACGCCGCGCCUGGGCUGUUGGCGUGUGUCGUGUUGCUGGUGCUUUAUGAACACGGAGCAGCUGCUCAUCUUGGUCUGUAUCACAAGAGGGCGCUCACCUAAAGCGAAAAGCGCAGGGUUGUGCGUGAAUUCCCUUUUUUCCUUCUGUUUUUCCUACUCCAAUAUUUCGACAUAGUGCUCAGAUACUAUGAUAUUAUGAACAGAUGACAAAGUAUGCUCUGUGGGUUAGAAGGAUAGAGAUAGAAGCGUUAGCAUGAGGAAAAUGAUCCAACUUAUUUGCGUGAUGUAAUUGUUAGUAAUUUUAAUCCAUGUGGCUAAUUGAAGAGUAUUAUCUACUCGGAAUUAAAAUUAAUGGUUUGUUAAUAACUAUGAUGGUGAUGUGUAUUUUGUUUAAUUAUGAGCUGUCGUAGUGUUUGAACUCUGCACUAGUGAAGAGUGAGGCAAUGGAAAGGCUUUGUUAGAUCAAGACCUAUGAGCAAGUUACAGAAUUCUCAUUGCAUCAGGAGAAGAAAACCACCAGUUCACUGCAUUUAGAAGUACAGUAAUGUGUAGAUGAGCCCAUAAACCAAGAGAAAUAUUUUUUUUUAUUCUUUACUGUGAGUCGGGUGAGGCAUUGGAACAGGUUG